RNAcentral lists this non-coding RNA (87 nucleotides) under unclassified sequences. The record is from RNAcentral.
UACGCUUUGCCACCGGGUAAAGCGACCGAGGUGUUCUGAAGCAUUCCGUUAGGUCUUAGAAGGAGUGUUCUCGAACAUCUUUUUUUG